UCUGCCCGCUGGCGGCGUGCCUAAUACAUGCAAGUCGAGCGAACAGACGAGGAGCUUGCUCCUCUGACGUUAGCGGCGGACGGGUGAGUAACACGUGGAUAACCUACCUAUAAGACUGGGAUAACUUCGGGAAACCGGAGCUAAUACCGGAUAAUAUAUUGAACCGCAUGGUUCAAUAGUGAAAGACGGUUUUGCUGUCACUUAUAGAUGGAUCCGCGCCGCAUUAGCUAGUUGGUAAGGUAACGGCUUACCAAGGCAACGAUGCGUAGCCGACCUGAGAGGGUGAUCGGCCACACUGGAACUGAGACACGGACCAGACUCCUACGGGAGGCAGCAGUAGGGAAUCUUCCGCAAUGGGCGAAAGCCUGACGGAGCAACGCCGCGUGAGUGAUGAAGGUCUUCGGAUCGUAAAACUCUGUUAUUAGGGAAGAACAAAUGUGUAAGUAACUAUGCACGUCUUGACGGUACCUAAUCAGAAAGCCACGGCUAACUACGUG
RNAcentral lists this ribosomal RNA (497 nucleotides) under uncultured bacterium. RNAcentral's name for it is "partial 16S ribosomal RNA". It matches the Rfam family "Bacterial small subunit ribosomal RNA", at positions 34 to 507 of the family's 1533-position model. The record is from RNAcentral.